RNAcentral lists this transfer RNA (57 nucleotides) under Fukomys damarensis (Damara mole-rat). It matches the Rfam family "tRNA", at positions 8 to 63 of the family's 71-position model. From Rfam's summary of the family: Transfer RNA (tRNA) molecules are approximately 80 nucleotides in length. Their secondary structure includes four short double-helical elements and three loops (D, anti-codon, and T loops). Further hydrogen bonds mediate the characteristic L-shaped molecular structure. tRNAs have two regions of fundamental functional importance: the anti-codon, which is responsible for specific mRNA codon recognition, and the 3' end, to which the tRNAs corresponding amino acid is attached (by aminoacyl-tRNA synthetases). tRNAs cope with the degeneracy of the genetic code in two manners: having more than one tRNA (with a specific anti-codon) for a particular amino acid; and 'wobble' base-pairing, i.e. permitting non-standard base-pairing at the 3rd anti-codon position. The record is from Rfam by way of RNAcentral. Lineage: Eukaryota; Metazoa; Chordata; Mammalia; Rodentia; Bathyergidae.
UAGCUCAGUGGUACAGCCCUUGCCUAGCAUGCAAGAAGCCCUGGGUUUGAUUCCCAG